UCCUGAACCAGACGGGAUAACUUCACUCAACUUCAUCUGCCCCAUCACUGAAUGUUCCCACAACCUAUGGACUCUCUUUCAAGGGCCCGUCACCUUAUGUUCUCGAUAUUUAUUGUUUACUUAUUUGUUUUUUUUUGUAUUUGCAGUUUGUCUUUUGCACUCUGGUUCAAUGAGGUCUUGCAUUGAUUCUGUUACGGUUAUUAUUCUCUGGAUUUAUUGAGCACAUCGGCAAGGUAGAUUUAUUGAUUUGGUUCAUCUAUUUCGUAUCGCUGUACGCACAGCCUACAAACAUGGUGGAGAAGCAGCAACCGGAAAUGCGUAGGAAGAAAUGCAAUGCUACCAUACGACGCCUUGGCUAGUCAUGCUGUGAGAAUAAUGUCGCAAGAUAACUUAGAACAAAGGAGUGCUUGUUGCAAGAGAAAGCUGCCUUGUGUAACCACUAAUCAAGGAUGCCUGACAAUAAUUGGAGGUACGCAUGUGAUAAUGAAUGUUUAACAAGCAGCCCCAGAUAGUGCUUGGGGCUCACCUGAUCACUGAUUUUCAAGGCUCUGAACGGAGGCUCUGUAGU
This is a long non-coding RNA of Hypanus sabinus (Atlantic stingray), 568 nucleotides long. RefSeq lists it as uncharacterized. The record is from RefSeq and is a predicted model, not a curated record. Lineage: Eukaryota; Metazoa; Chordata; Chondrichthyes; Myliobatiformes; Dasyatidae. The transcript has 3 exons.